This 714-nucleotide ribosomal RNA is filed under the name Eriotheca candolleana. RNAcentral's name for it is "eukaryotic LSU rRNA". The stretch from base 300 to 455 matches the Rfam family "5.8S ribosomal RNA". Lineage: Eukaryota; Viridiplantae; Streptophyta; Magnoliopsida; Malvales; Malvaceae. The record is from RNAcentral.
GCUGCCCCUCGGAACGACCCGUGAACGCGUUAAGUACAAACAUCCCGGGGUGGGUGAGGGUGCGUCCGCGCCCCGAGCCCCCUCGGCGCCCUUGCGUGCGCGACCGCACCCGCUCCGCCCCCCCCGGGCGGGCGGGAUGCCCGGUCUCGUCGCUUGCGGCGGAACAACGAACAAACCCCCGGCGCGAGUCGCGCCAAGGAAUCGGAACGACGACGAGGGGCGCGUCCGCUCCCGCCGACCCGUCCGCGGUGUUCGUGCGGGCAGCGGUGCGUCUCCUCCGUCGCGAAAAAUACGAAAACGACUCUCGGCAACGGAUAUCUCGGCUCUCGCAUCGAUGAAGAACGUAGCGAAAUGCGAUACUUGGUGUGAAUUGCAGAAUCCCGUGAACCAUCGAGUCUUUGAACGCAAGUUGCGCCCCAAGCCAUUAGGCCGAGGGCACGUCUGCCUGGGUGUCACGCAUCGUCGCCCCCUCCGGACCCUUAGCCCCUCGGGGCUAGGAGGGGGCGGAAAAUGGCCUCCCGUGCGCUCCCCGCUCGCGGUUGGCCUAAAACAGAGUCCUCGGCGACGACGGCGCCGCGACGAUCGUUGGUGACGCCUCGAGCGCGCCUCGUCCGCGGUCGCGCGCGCUUUCGUUCCGACGGACCCAUCGAGAGACCCUUCCGGCGUCGCACGAUCGAUGCCCGCAUCGCGACCCCAGGUCAGGCGGGACUACCC